GUGGGGAAUUGUUCGCAAUGGGCGAAAGCCUGACGACGCAACGCCGCGUGGAGGAUGAAGGUCUUCGGAUUGUAAACUCCUGUUGACCGGGACGAAUGGCUCCUGGACUAACACCCCAGGGGAUUGACGGUACCGGUUGAGGAAGCCCCGGCUAACUCUGUGCCAGCAGCCGCGGUAAUACAGAGGGGGCGAGCGUUGUUCGGAAUUACUGGGCGUAAAGGGCGCGUAGGUGGCCGACUGAGUCCGACGUGAAAUCCCCCGGCUCAACUGGGGAACUGCGUCGGAUACUGGUUGGCUCGAAUCCGGGAGAGGGAUGUGGAAUUCCAGGUGUAGCGGUGAAAUGCGUAGAUAUCUGGAGGAACACCGGUGGCGAAGGCGGCAUCCUGGACCGGAAUUGACGCUGAGGCGCGAAAGCCAGGGGAGCAAACGGGAUUAGAAACCCCGGUAGUCC
Molecule: ribosomal RNA, 451 nt
Filed under: uncultured bacterium
Lineage: Bacteria
Description: bacterial SSU rRNA
Rfam family: Bacterial small subunit ribosomal RNA
Source: RNAcentral